RNAcentral lists this ribosomal RNA (440 nucleotides) under uncultured bacterium. Its description in RNAcentral is "partial 16S ribosomal RNA". It matches the Rfam family "Bacterial small subunit ribosomal RNA", at positions 338 to 795 of the family's 1533-position model. The record is from RNAcentral.
CCUACGGGAGGCAACAGUGGGGAAUAUUGCACAAUGGGGGAAACCCUGAUGCAGCGACGCCGCGUGAGUGAAGAAGUAUUUCGGUAUGUAAAGCUCUAUCAGCAGGGAAGAAAAUGACGGUACCUGAUUAAGAAGCCCCGGCUAACUACGUGCCAGCAGCCGCGGUAAUACGUAGGGGGCAAGCGUUAUCCGGAUGUACUGGGUGUAAAGGGAGCGUAGACGGCAGUACAAGUCUGGAGGGAAAUGCCCGGGCUUAACCCCGGAACUGCUUUUGAUACUGUGCAGCUAGAGUGCAGGAGAGGUAAGUGGAAUGCCUAGUGUAGCGGUGAAAUGCGUAGAUAUUAGGAGGAACACCAGUGGCGAAGGCGGCUUACUGGACUGUAACUGACGUUGAGGCUCGAAAGCGUGGGGAGCAAACAGGAUUAGAUACCCCAGUAGUC